UUGCUGAUGGUUGCUGCUGUAGG
Molecule: unclassified non-coding RNA, 23 nt
Filed under: Mus musculus (house mouse)
Lineage: Eukaryota; Metazoa; Chordata; Mammalia; Rodentia; Muridae
Description: oocyte_clustered_small_RNA6896
Source: RNAcentral